GGGCCGUUAGCUCAGUCGGUAGAGCAUCGGACUUUUAAUCCGCUGGUCGCAGGUUCGAAUCCUGCACGGCCCACCA
This 76-nucleotide transfer RNA is filed under the name Gammaproteobacteria bacterium. RNAcentral's name for it is "tRNA-Lys". It matches the Rfam family "tRNA". From Rfam's summary of the family: Transfer RNA (tRNA) molecules are approximately 80 nucleotides in length. Their secondary structure includes four short double-helical elements and three loops (D, anti-codon, and T loops). The record is from RNAcentral. Lineage: Bacteria; Pseudomonadati; Pseudomonadota; Gammaproteobacteria.